UACGUAGGUCCCGAGCGUUGUCCGGAUUUAUUGGGCGUAAAGCGAGCGCAGGUGGUUUAUUAAGUCUGGUGUAAAAGGCAGUGGCUCAACCAUUGUAUGCAUUGGAAACUGGUAGACUUGAGUGCAGGAGAGGAGAGUGGAAUUCCUUGUGUAGCGGUGAAAUGCGUAGAUAUAUGGAGGAACACCGGUGGCGAAAGCGGCUCUCUGGCCUGUAACUGACACUGAGGCUCGAAAGCGUGGGGAGCAAACAGG
This 252-nucleotide ribosomal RNA is filed under the name uncultured bacterium. RNAcentral's name for it is "partial 16S ribosomal RNA". It matches the Rfam family "Bacterial small subunit ribosomal RNA", at positions 524 to 776 of the family's 1533-position model. The record is from RNAcentral.